UACGUAGGGGGCAAACGUUGUCCGGAAUCAUUGGGCGUAAAGAGCGUGUAGGCGGCUCGGUAAGUCCGCUGUGAAAGUCCAGGGCUCAACCCUGGAAUGCCGGUGGAAACUGUCGAGCUAGAGUCCGGAAGAGGCGAGUGGAAUUCCUGGUGUAGCGGUGAAAUGCGCAGAUAUCAGGAGGAACACCGAUGGCGAAGGCAGGUCUCUGGGCCACUACUGACGCUGAGAAGCGAAAGCAUGGGGAGCGAACAGG
Molecule: ribosomal RNA, 253 nt
Filed under: uncultured bacterium
Lineage: Bacteria
Description: partial 16S ribosomal RNA
Rfam family: Bacterial small subunit ribosomal RNA
Source: RNAcentral